AUCAAGGGCUCGGGCUGAGAUGUUGGUAGGGAGGGAGGUGGCAGCUUCCAGCAUCAUUGAGGUGGCAGCUUCCGGCAUCAUUGAGGUGGCGAACUCAGCUACAAGGCCAAGAAUAGGGACCUCAUUGGAUGGAACAAGGAAGACGAGGAGGGGAAGAAGAGACGUGGAGGAACAAGGGCGAUGAGGGAAGGCAGUGGCCUUCCCCGGGAGGUGGUUUAGAGAAAGGUGGCGGCCUCCCUAGUAGCUACUGGGGAAAGAUCAAUAUAGGAGGGCAGUGGCCUCCCUUGCUGAUGGCAACGAAUCUCUAAGAGGGCAUGCAGCAAUCCCUGGCAGGCAUUGCAAAAUGGGGCGGCAGGGUUGCCC
RNAcentral lists this long non-coding RNA (363 nucleotides) under Phoenix dactylifera (date palm). RNAcentral describes it as "long non-coding RNA (PDAC_LNC002978)". Lineage: Eukaryota; Viridiplantae; Streptophyta; Magnoliopsida; Arecales; Arecaceae. The record is from RNAcentral.